RNAcentral lists this ribosomal RNA (446 nucleotides) under uncultured bacterium. RNAcentral describes it as "SSU rRNA". It matches the Rfam family "Bacterial small subunit ribosomal RNA", at positions 26 to 518 of the family's 1533-position model. The record is from RNAcentral.
AGAGCGAACGCUGGCGGCAGGCUUAACACAUGCAAGUCGAGCGCGUGUAGCAAUACACGAGCGGCAGACGGGAGAGUAACACGUGGGAACGUACCCUUCAGUUCGGAACAACCCAGGGAAACUUGGACUAAUACCGGAUACGUCCGUAAGGAGAAAGAUUUAUCGCUGAAGGAUCGGCCCGCGUCUGAUUAGCUUGUUGGUGAGGUAACGGCUCACCAAGGCGACGAUCAGUAGCUGGUCUGAGAGGAUGAUCAGCCUCACUGGGACUGAGACACGGCCCAGACUCCUACGGGAGGCAGCAGUGGGGAAUAUUGGACAAUGGGCGCAAGCCUGAUCCAGCCAUGCCGCGUGGGUGAUGAAGGCCCUAGGGUUGUAAAGCCCUUUGGCGGGGAAGAUAAUGACGGUACCCGCAGAAGAGCCCCGGCUAACUUCGUGCCAGCAGCCGC